Molecule: ribosomal RNA, 459 nt
Filed under: uncultured bacterium
Lineage: Bacteria
Description: partial 16S ribosomal RNA
Rfam family: Bacterial small subunit ribosomal RNA
Source: RNAcentral
CCUACGGGUGGCAGCAGUGAGGAAUAUUGGUCAAUGGUCGGGAGACUGACCCAGCCACGCCGCGUGAGGGAGGAAGGUACAGAGUAUCGUAAACCUCUUUUGUCAGGGAACACAGACUGGGACGCGUCCCCGGAUGAGUGUACCUGAAGACAAAGCAUCGGCUAACUCCGUGCCAGCAGCCUCGGUACUACGGAGGAUGCGAGCUUUAUCCGGAUUUAUUGGGUUUGACGGGUGCGCAGGCGGUCUGUUAAGUCAGCGGUAAAAGCCCGGGGCUCAACUCCGGCCCGCCGUUGAAACGGGCAGUCUCGAGUUGGAGAGAAGUAGGCGGAAUGCGCGGUGUAGCGGUGAAAUGCAUAGAUAUCGCGCAGAACUCCGAUGGCGAAGGCAGCAUGCCGGCUCCACACUGACGCUGAGGCACGAAAGCGUGGGUAUCGAACAGGAUUAGAUACCCUUGUAGUC